RNAcentral lists this ribosomal RNA (484 nucleotides) under uncultured bacterium. RNAcentral describes it as "partial 16S ribosomal RNA". It matches the Rfam family "Bacterial small subunit ribosomal RNA", at positions 28 to 507 of the family's 1533-position model. The record is from RNAcentral.
GACGAACGCUGGCGGCGUGCUUAACACAUGCAAGUCGAACGGAAAGGCCCUGCUUGCAGGGUACUCGAGUGGCGAACGGGUGAGUAACACGUGGGUGAUCUGCCCUGCACUUCGGGAUAAGCCUGGGAAACUGGGUCUAAUACCGGCUAGGAGACAUUUUUAGUGUGAUGGUUGGAAAGUUUUUUCGGUUUAGGAUGAGCCCGCGGUGUAUUAGCUAGUUGGUGGGGUAACGGCUUACCAAGGCGGCGAUGGAUAGCCGACCUGCGAGGGUGGACGGCCACACUGGAACUGAGCCACGGUCCAGACUCCUACGGGAGGCAGCAGUAGGGAAUCUUCCGCAAUGGGCGAAAGCCUGACGGAGCAACGCCGCGUGAGUGAUGAAGGUCUUCGGAUCGUAAAACUCUGUUAUUAGGGAAGAACAUAUGUGUAAGUAACUGUGCACAUCUUGACGGUACCUAAUCAGAAAGCCACGGCUAACUACGUG